RNAcentral lists this ribosomal RNA (440 nucleotides) under uncultured bacterium. RNAcentral describes it as "partial 16S ribosomal RNA". It matches the Rfam family "Bacterial small subunit ribosomal RNA", at positions 338 to 795 of the family's 1533-position model. The record is from RNAcentral.
CCUACGGGUGGCUGCAGUGGGGGAUAUUGCACAAUGGGGGGAACCCUGAUGCAGCGACGCCGCGUGGGUGAAGAAGCGCCUCGGCGCGUAAAGCCCUGUCAGCAGGGAAGAAAAUGACGGUACCUGAAGAAGAAGCCCCGGCUAACUACGUGCCAGCAGCCGCGGUAAUACGUAGGGGGCAAGCGUUAUCCGGAUUUACUGGGUGUAAAGGGGGCGCAGACGGCGAUGCAAGCCAGGAGUGAAAGCCCGGGGCCCAACCCCGGGACUGCUCUUGGAACGGCGUGGCUGGAGUGCAGGAGGGGCAGGCGGAAUUCCUGGUGUAGCGGUGAAAUGCAGAGAUAUCACGCAGAACCGCGAUUGCGAAGGCAGCAUGCCGGCUUCCGACUGACGCUGAAGCACGAAAGCGUGGGGAUCGAACAGGAUUAGAUACCCCUGUAGUC